AAAAUGCGAUACGUGGUGUGAAUUGCAGGAUCCCGUGAACCAUCGAGUUUUUGAACGCAAGUUGCGCCCGAAGCCUUUAGGCCGAGGGCACGUCUGCCUGGGCGUCACGCACCGUUGCCCUCCAAACCUCCGCAGUCCUUUAGUGGGAUUGUUGAGAUGUGCGGGGGUCGUAAAGUGGCUUCCCGUCGGCUUUGUCCUGCGGUUGGCCUAAAAAUGUAUCCCUAGUCGCGGUGCGCGCGGCAUUCGGUGGUCAUCGAUAGAUUUCGUUACCCCGCCGUGCGCUCCCGUGUUGCCAAAAAGUGCCGGCAGUUUAAAGGAUGUCACCAGCAAACCCGAUGUCUCGCUCUGUGAAGAGCGUAGCUUACAACGCGACCCCAGGUCAGGCGGGGCUACCCGCUGA
This 400-nucleotide unclassified non-coding RNA is filed under the name uncultured fungus. Its description in RNAcentral is "sequence contains ITS1". The stretch from base 1 to 107 matches the Rfam family "5.8S ribosomal RNA", at positions 50 to 154 of the family's 154-position model. Lineage: Eukaryota; Fungi. The record is from RNAcentral.